GGGCGUGUUCCAGAGUGGCCAAAUGGGGCAGACUGUAAAUCUGCUGGCUAUGCCUUCGGUGGUUCGAAUCCAUCCGCGCCCA
This 82-nucleotide transfer RNA is filed under the name Muribaculaceae bacterium. RNAcentral's name for it is "tRNA-Tyr". It matches the Rfam family "tRNA". Rfam says of the family: Transfer RNA (tRNA) molecules are approximately 80 nucleotides in length. The record is from RNAcentral. Lineage: Bacteria; Pseudomonadati; Bacteroidota; Bacteroidia; Bacteroidales; Muribaculaceae.